Molecule: ribosomal RNA, 1287 nt
Filed under: Triticum aestivum (bread wheat)
Lineage: Eukaryota; Viridiplantae; Streptophyta; Magnoliopsida; Poales; Poaceae
Description: partial small subunit ribosomal RNA
Source: RNAcentral
AUGGGGUUCAGGAAGGGCCUGCUGGCGUGCUUCGGCCCGGGCGGCGGCGGCGACGAGGAGGCGGAGCAAGAGGCGCGGGCGACGCCGGGGGCGCGGCGGCGGCGCACGGUGAUGAACCUGCGGUCGCUGUCGCUGGAGGACCUGUCGCGGACGCUGGCCACGACGACCCUGCACGCCUUCACCCUCGACGAGCUCAAGUCCGUCACCAAGAACUUCUCCACCGCCAACUUCCUCGGCGAGGGCGGCUUCGGCCCCGUCUACAAGGGCUGCGUCGGCGGCGCCCUCCGCCCCGGCCUCGCCGCGCAGCAGGUCGCCGUCAAGUACCUCGACCUCGACAGCGACGGCGUCCAGGGCCACCGCGAGUGGCUGGCGGAGGUGGUGUAUCUGGGGAUGCUGAGCCACCCGCACCUGGUGAAGCUGCUGGGGUUCUGCAACCAGGACGACCACCGCAUGCUCGUCUACGAGUACAUGCCCCGGGGCAGCCUCGAGAACCACCUCUUCAACAAUCCGCUGGCGCCGCUGCCAUGGUCGACGCGGCUCAAGAUCGCCGUGGGCGCGGCCAAGGGGCUGGCCUUCCUGCACGAGGCCGACACCCCCGUCAUCUACCGCGACUUCAAGGCCUCCAACAUCCUGCUCGACUCGGACUACGCGGCGAAGCUGUCGGACUUCGGGCUGGCCAAGGAGGGGCCCAAGGGGGACGACACGCACGUGACGACGCGGGUGAUGGGCACGCACGGCUACGCGGCGCCGGAGUACAUCCUCACGGGCCACCUCACGGCCAAGAGCGACGUCUACAGCUUCGGGGUGGUGCUCCUGGAGCUGCUCACGGGCCGGCGCUCCGUCGACAAGCGGCGGCGCGGCCGGGAGCAGAACCUCGUCGACUGGGCGCGGCCCUACCUGCGCCGCGCCGACGACCGGCUGCAGCGCGUCAUGGACCCCGGCAUGGAGUCGCAGUACUCCACGCGGGCGGCGCGCGGGGCCGCGGCCGUGGCGCACUCGUGCCUGCAGAGCGUGCCCAAGGCGCGGCCCCGGAUGCGCGACGUCGUCGACGCCCUCGAGCCGCUGCUCGCGCUCGACGACGACGUGCCCAUGGGGCCAUUCGUGUUCACGGUCUGCGAGCCGGAGCCGGCGGGCAAGGGGAGCGGCGCCGGGGACGACGAGCCGGCGGCCGCGCAGGGCAAGUGGCACGUCAAGUCGGCCGUGCACGCGGACAGCCCGCUGCGCAAGGGCGACUGCUGGGUCACCAGCGCCGCCAAACGGCCGGAGAGCCCCCCGGGCGUGAUCUGA